CGCGGCGCCAGCGGGAGCGAGCCGACCGAGCCGUGCGCACCGCCGCAGCUCCAGCGCCGUCCGCAGCAGACCCGGAGGCCCGCGGCCCUUCUCUGGAACGCGCUGGUGGUUCCCUGGUAACAGGUAAGCGCGACCGAGGGAGACGGCCUGGAAGCCCGGGCGGGAGGGCGGCUUCCUGCGGUAGAGGAGCUCGAGGUGGAGACCCUCGGAGAAGGGGCGCUGUGAACAAUGGGCGUUAUCCGCUGCGCGCUCUCCUCACCGAUGCCCACUCCUCAGGUGCCCAGGCGAGCCUCGGAACAGUCCACGUGUGACCGUCCCUCAGCGCUUAACCGCAUUUCAAGUCUCCAUUGCCCGUGACCUAGAGCCUGUGCAUUUCAUACCUUCGGUCUGAUUAUUUACGUCUUCUCUUCGAGCCGAUUUUCCCACCGGUUACUUGGUAGAUCUUUAGUACCACCCUGUCUGCUCCCCCCAUUUCUGAAUUUUCUUCUAUAGUGUCCUACUUGUCUCUGCAGAAAGGGCUUUGCGGGGUGAAAUAUGGUUUUUUUUUUUUUUGGGUAUUCCCGACCUUUUAACAGAACUCUCCUCCCCACCUCAAAUCUUUGCUCCGAAGAAACAGCUUUAGGUAGGAAAGGUGGAGCUCUCUGCUGGAGAACUGCCUGAUCCCAU
This 666-nucleotide long non-coding RNA is filed under the name Marmota monax (woodchuck). Lineage: Eukaryota; Metazoa; Chordata; Mammalia; Rodentia; Sciuridae. The record is from RNAcentral.